CCAGGGGCUCACGCCCCUGGCUAAUGACGGCGUCCCUUUGGGACU
RNAcentral lists this small RNA (45 nucleotides) under Pedosphaera parvula Ellin514. Its description in RNAcentral is "Acido-Lenti-1 RNA". It matches the Rfam family "Acido-Lenti-1 RNA". Lineage: Bacteria; Pseudomonadati; Verrucomicrobiota; Pedosphaerae; Pedosphaerales; Pedosphaeraceae. The record is from Rfam by way of RNAcentral.